GACGAACGCUGGCGGCGUGCUUAACACAUGCAAGUCGAGCGGAGCGGCUAACGGUUGAGUAACUCGUGAGUAACUGCCCCCCUCUCUGGGAUAACAGUUAGAAACGGCUGCUAAUACCGGAUAGUUGGGGAUGACUCGCGUCCUAUCCGCUUGUUGUUGGGGUAUUGGCCUACCAAGGCGACGACGGGUAGCCGGCCUGAGAGGGCGACCGGCCAAAUUGGGCGGAGAUACGGCCCAAACUCCGACGGGAGGCAGCAGGGGGGAAUAUUGCACAAUGGGGGAAACCCUGAGGCAGCAACGCGCGUGCGGGAUGAAGGCCUUCGGGUUGUAAACCGCUGUCAGCCAUGACGCGGUAGUGGCAGAAGAAGCACCGGCUAACUACGUGCCAGCAGACGCGGUAAUAC
RNAcentral lists this ribosomal RNA (404 nucleotides) under uncultured bacterium. Its description in RNAcentral is "partial 16S ribosomal RNA". It matches the Rfam family "Bacterial small subunit ribosomal RNA", at positions 28 to 526 of the family's 1533-position model. The record is from RNAcentral.